AUUGAACGCUGGCGGCAGGCCUAACACAUGCAAGUCGAACGAGCGGCGGACGGGUGAGUAAUGUCUGGGAAUCUGCCCGAUGGAGGGGGAUAACUACUGGAAACGGUAGCUACUACCGCAUACUAUCGGAUGUGCCCAGAUGGGAUUAGCUAGUAGGUGGGGUAAAGGCUCACCUAGGCGACGAUCCCUAGCUGGUCUGAGAGGAUGACCAGCCACACUGGGACUGAGACACGGGCCAGACUCCUACGGGAGGCAGCAGUGGGUAAUAUUGCACAAUGGGCGCAAUCCUGAUGCAGCCAUGCCGCGUGUAUGAAGAAGGCCUUCGGGUUGUAAAGUACUUUCAGCGGGGAGGCGUUACCCGCAGAAGAAGCACCGGCUAACUCCGUGCCAGCAGCCGCGGUAAUAC
RNAcentral lists this ribosomal RNA (406 nucleotides) under uncultured bacterium. RNAcentral describes it as "partial 16S ribosomal RNA". It matches the Rfam family "Bacterial small subunit ribosomal RNA", at positions 30 to 526 of the family's 1533-position model. The record is from RNAcentral.